This 200-nucleotide long non-coding RNA is filed under the name Elaeis guineensis (African oil palm). Its description in RNAcentral is "long non-coding RNA (EGUI_LNC051919)". Lineage: Eukaryota; Viridiplantae; Streptophyta; Magnoliopsida; Arecales; Arecaceae. The record is from RNAcentral.
GCCUUAUGGGUGGAAUUCGAAGGAAGAGAAGGAAGAGGGAAAGGGGGUAAGUAGAAUGGGUAGAAGGGAGAAGGAGGGGUCACUGGCAAGAAAAUGAUGGAGGUGGAGGGAGCCAUUAUGAAGGAAGAGAGCUCACAGGCAGGCUUGGAGGAGGAGGACAAAGAGGAAAGGCAUUAGGUGAAAAGAGAGGAGGAAGGAGG